This 492-nucleotide ribosomal RNA is filed under the name uncultured bacterium. RNAcentral describes it as "partial 16S ribosomal RNA". It matches the Rfam family "Bacterial small subunit ribosomal RNA", at positions 29 to 507 of the family's 1533-position model. The record is from RNAcentral.
AGUGAACGCUGGCGGUAGGCCUAACACAUGCAAGUCGAACGGCAGCACAGUAAGAGCUUGCUCUUACGGGUGGCGAGUGGCGGACGGGUGAGGAAUACAUCGGAAUCUACUUUUUCGUGGGGGAUAACGUAGGGAAACUUACGCUAAUACCGCAUACGACCUACGGGUGAAAGCAGGGGAUCUUCGGACCUUGCGCGAUUGAAUGAGCCGAUGUCGGAUUAGCUAGUUGGCGGGGUAAAGGCCCACCAAGGCGACGAUCCGUAGCUGGUCUGAGAGGAUGAUCAGCCACACUGGAACUGAGACACGGUCCAGACUCCUACGGGAGGCAGCAGUGGGGAAUAUUGGACAAUGGGCGCAAGCCUGAUCCAGCCAUACCGCGUGGGUGAAGAAGGCCUUCGGGUCGUAAAGCCCUUUUGUUGGGAAAGAAAAGCAGCAGGUGAAUACCCCGCUGUUCUGACGGUACCCAAAGAAUAAGCACCGGCUAACUUCGUG